Molecule: long non-coding RNA, 697 nt
Organism: Galleria mellonella (greater wax moth)
Lineage: Eukaryota; Metazoa; Arthropoda; Insecta; Lepidoptera; Pyralidae
Exons: 2
Source: RefSeq, a predicted model, not a curated record
GCAAUUAGUGUCAAAUGGGGAACGUUUCAUCUGACUCGUGUUAGCGAUCGCAUGCGUUCAUUACCCAGUACCGUGUUCCCACAGGCUGAUAUAUUGCUCUCAUUGUCGCGAACUAACAACGCACUAUUCUGGCUAACGGUCCACAAUACUGACCUCAUACGUCCGCUACAUUGUUACAGCAGACUAACAAAGAAUAAAAACAGACACGGAAAACAUUAGCUAAUGAAUUUCCUGCCCUUACCUCUGUUUUCUUCGCAAAAAGUGAGUCGAGAUUAUAGAAAUGGAGCAAGUAAGGAUGAUUACAGGUGUGCGAGGAUUAGAAGGAAAUGUAACCUUUGGAUGGAAAGGAGUAAUAGGUAGUACAUCGACGUAAUUUAUACCCAUGAUGUAUUCCAGUAAUUUGAAGCUAGUCAUGCUCACUUCAAGGUCCAAUGAUCUGCGCAUUGAUGGCUGACUCAUUCAUUCUACUCGUAAAAGGGAGCUGCGUGUGGGGGCUGGUCUGCUCAUAUUUGCUCGUUUAUUUUAUAUUUAAUAAUAUAUAUAAAUAACUACUAAAUGCUAAUUACAUUCAUAGUACCCAUACAAAUUCUUCUCAGCAGAAAACAACAUUCCGAACCCAGCAGUAAACUCAUAAAAAAUUGACAAUAUAAAAGAGCUUGUAAACAAAUCUAUUUGAAUAAAGAUUAUUUCUAUUCUA